AACCUAUUAGCUCAAAUGGUAGAGCACUAUGCAAAUGCAUAGGAGGAGAUGUAGGUUCGACUCCUACAUAGGUUG
Non-coding RNA from Spinacia oleracea (spinach), 75 nucleotides. NCBI's taxonomy places the organism in Eukaryota, Viridiplantae, Streptophyta, Magnoliopsida, Caryophyllales, Amaranthaceae. The record is from Rfam.